RNAcentral lists this transfer RNA (68 nucleotides) under Lophius piscatorius (angler). RNAcentral describes it as "tRNA-Cys". It matches the Rfam family "tRNA". Rfam says of the family: Transfer RNA (tRNA) molecules are approximately 80 nucleotides in length. Lineage: Eukaryota; Metazoa; Chordata; Actinopteri; Lophiiformes; Lophiidae. The record is from RNAcentral.
AGCCUUGAGGUGUUUUUACAUAUAAGAUUGCAAAUCUUAAGAAGAGGGUUAGUCACCCUCCGGGGCUU